UAGCUCGGUACUCGCGAAUGCUCUAGAUUAGAGUUUGGAUCAUGGCUCAGGUUGAACGCUGGCGGCAGGCUUAACACAUGCAAGUCGAGCGGGGAAGGGUAGCUUGCUACCUGACCUAGCGGCGGACGGGUGAGUAAUGCUUAGGAACCUGCCUAUUAGUGGGGGACAACAUCUCGAAAGGGAUGCUAAUACCGCAUACGUCCUACGGGAGAAAGCAGGGGAUCUUCGGACCUUGCGCUAAUAGAUGAGCCUAAGUCGGAUUAGCUAGUUGGUGGGGUAAAGGCCUACCAAGGCGACGAUCCGUAACUGGUCUGAGAGGAUGAU
This 324-nucleotide ribosomal RNA is filed under the name uncultured bacterium. Its description in RNAcentral is "partial 16S ribosomal RNA". It matches the Rfam family "Bacterial small subunit ribosomal RNA", at positions 1 to 304 of the family's 1533-position model. The record is from RNAcentral.